GUAACUCCAUGAUUUCCGGAUCCUCCCCACCUUUCUUUCUCUAGGCCCCAGGUCGAGAAGAACAGAUCCGCAGCAACUGCCGCCGCUCCUCCCUUCCCCUCCUCCCGUGCGUGGCCAUCUCAUCCACCCCGAGUCGACCCCGCCUCCGGUCGCGGCGCACUCUUCUACAAGCCGCGAUGACAUCCUCGCCGGUCAGCCGCACCCAGCGCCCUCCUCCUCCCUUCUCUCUCCCUCUCCUCACUAAUCUAUCUCCCUGUCUCCGUUGGACCUUCCUCGUGACUGCCGGCCUUCCUCCUCACUAGAUCAACGACGGCGACGACCGGAUCUCCCAUGCUGCCAUUGCUCAGACACACCGCGCAUUUGCCCCACCUCCCAGCAAACGCCGCCGCCCCUUCCCUUCCGAUCCACCUCGAGUCAACCUGUCGCCACCACGCACGCGAGCCACGGCGGGGGACGCGAGAGGAGGAGUUGCGGCUUCCUCCGGGCACACACGUGCCGUUGCAGUCGGCCUCUCCUGGAGCGUCGGUCGCCGAAGCCGCCUGCCGCUCGGCUUCUGCCCCACGGGCGCCACGUCCAGGAACUCCCCUCCGCCGCUGCCGGGUGGGUCAAAAUCACUGCUAUCGCCGUGUCCCGCCCCAUUCUGUUCAUGCUCUGACGUGAUCCUGAUGCGCAUGCACACAUCCUUUUCUGUACAGAGUAAUGGCCAUUGGAUUUGGAUUUUGGGAGCUUCCAAUCGUGGAUGCUUGUUUCCGUAUGGAGUAAUGACAUUUUUUAACUGACGGAUUGAUCCAUGUAAUUAGGAUUGUCUCCAGGUGCAAUAGUCGUUCAAGCACGUGCAGUUUUUGGGAGUGAAGUCAAAAGAAUAGCUUGGUACUUCUGUGGUUGAGGUUUCAACAGAUUGAUUUCAACAGAGGGAUGCUGGUGCAGUAACCAUAUCUAUGUGCAAGGAAUUCUGCUUCUUGCAGCUGUAGGACCAUGAGAUGUCGACGCUACACGAUAGGGGACACCAAGGUCCCAGCCAAGUCAGUGAUGUUGCCCCGACUCCCUAUUUCUUCAGCUUGAGGAAGCCCUGUGGCAGCCUGACUCUCUUCUUCCUAUUGUCGUCCUAUCUGACCUGCUACUAGGCAACUACUACUACUCACGAUUGAUAGAUGCUAUCUUGCGAACAACUGAGCAGUCUCGGCUAUACUUUAACCCAGACAUCAAAGAAGCAAAUAGCUUGAUAUAUGGUUCAGGGAGCUCCGACGCUUGCUCCGACCAAAGAAGUUUUUCACACUGGCACAUAGUGGCAUUGGCUGAGGUGUUUGUAACAAAUUGUACAGAUCUUGAUUAAUUUUGCUCUGUUUUUUCCUCCCCCUUAUACCAUACUAUAUUAAUGAAAAUUUGACCAUAGAACUAUUGUUGUAUGGUUUGUGGUUAAACAAAAAGAACCAGCAAGGAGGUGGAGUUUGCGAAGCACACGUUCGACCAUGACAACCCCAAGCAUGUGUCCCCAUACGACGAGGCGACCAGGUGAAUACCACUCAUGAGAUGUGUGAGCUCUGGCGAAGAGCAUGAGUAGAAGCAUAGAACACAUUUGUCAUUAGGGACUCGCGAGGAUGUUGUUGCAACAUACGGGCUCAUUUACUUAAAAAUAAACAGAUUUCAAAAGACAUGUGUUAUAUUUGAGAGACGUGCGUUGCACGUGCA
Triticum aestivum (bread wheat) is the source of this 1689-nucleotide long non-coding RNA. RefSeq lists it as uncharacterized. The transcript has 5 exons. Lineage: Eukaryota; Viridiplantae; Streptophyta; Magnoliopsida; Poales; Poaceae. The record is from RefSeq and is a predicted model, not a curated record.